AUGGCGGCGGGCACAUGUGGAUAACUGGUUUGACACAUUUUUCAAACCAAAUAAAAAUCAGAAAAAAAUUAAGGUGAUUCAAUCAACCUUGAAUUUGAAACAUGAUAAUUGGCAAUUGCAAGUCCCGACGGAUAAACGUAAAUCAUUUAAAUGGAGCCUACCAUCCACAGCAUGGCUUGGUGUGGACAGAUGGCCAGUGUGUCAACCUGUCAAUCAUAUCUGUCAAUCAUGACGAUGUCAUUGCAUCGCCUCCCACCAUCCUUGGCCAGUUUGAUUCUGUCGAGCAUGCAGCUUGGAGUUCGGGUACCACACCUUGUUACCUAAGCAUUCAGCAAGUGACCUGCAUCACAGUAUGGAAGGUUGAUAAGUGCUCACAGAAACUCAAGUUUGACAAGAUCAGUGAAAUAGAAGAACAGGUUAUCCCUCAAAGUUGCCUUUGGCAUCAAUCCAAGCCACUGCUUGUCGUCCUGUGUAGGGACCAGCUCCUGUUAGUUGACCCAGAAAAAGCAUCCACCCAUGCCGUUCAUGUGAACUCUUGCCACCGAGUCACUGCAGGGACAUGGUCUCUGGAUGGAUCACAGGUUAUCGUUGCGAUGGGAUUUGAUCUUUGUGUUUAUGAGUUAAGUGAUGACAUGCAGUUGGUGCAGGCAAGAAAGAUACAGAAUUUCGCUGGACCAAUCAGGACAGUGGUUCCAGUGGCACCUGACCUUGCUGCCAUAGCGCUGGACCUACCUUUAGAGCAACUUGUCAGCCAAUCCCAGGUGGACAUGUUUGAAGCCAUACCAUUGGCAGAGUUGCAUGUACAUGCUGAGGGUUCAAAUGGUGAUACUCAAAUGAUACACUCCAUGGCCAGCGAUACAACUCAGGUCGUAGGUCAGACGAAAAUACUGCAUCGUUUGAAAGAUGGCAAAGAUCAAGCCACUGAAAGUGAAAUUUUGCACAGGAAAGGACCGGUGGAUAUCAACGCUUUGAUCAGAAGGAGAGACAGGAACCAGAUGUCUGGUUCAAACACUGCCCACCAGGCUGCAGAGGGAUUUGUCCAGUCAGACCAUCCUCCGGAGCAAAAGACCAAGCACCACUCUGAGCGUGAACAUGGAAGAAAUGGAAGCACUGUUGCAGUCAGAUUACCAACAGGAGAACCUCAUCCUGGUGAAGUAACUAGAGAUGUAUCACUACUUGAAAGCUCCUCAAGGAAUUGCUUAGAAGAACCUAACUCUGGAAUUCAAAGAAGAGGGGGGCCACAAGAGGUCAUUGAUCUGUCAGGUCUCAGACAUGGACUGAAACAUGGAGUAGAAAGUACAUAUAGAAAACUCCAAUUUAAACGAGCACUACAGAAGCCAACAUCAGAAUCCUCGCAGCUGGUGCUGGCUCGUGUUGGAAACGACGCCCAAGAACCUGCCAAGGACUGCAUCCUGUCUGCAGUAGAGCUGCCUUGUAUUCUCAGUCCAGAUCUUCUGAUAUACCAAGAAUCCAGCCAAGUUCUUGUGGUGGGCAGCAACACCCAAGCAAAAUGCUAUCAAGUUUCUGUACUCAGUGGGAAGAGCUUGGGAAGACUGAGAUUACUUGAUUUGGAUUUCUCAGAGAAUGAGAGAUCCCUGGGACUGUGCACAUUACCAUUCAACAAGGACGUCCUCCUACUUACUGGCGAUUCUCAAGUACACGAUGUCACCUUUCUACCCUCGUCCAGUUUCUCUGAGUAUCAACUGAAGUUAAGAACCCUGAAGCUUCAUUUUCAUGAGCCCCUUGAAGAAGAAAAAUGCUCUGGGCAUGACCUUGAUCUCACAGAUGACCUCCCAACUUUGACUUUACCGAAUGGAAGGUUGCUGACAGGGAAAGAGCAUCCCAACAAACGUGUUCAAGCAAAAUUGAGGAGGUCACAUUUUCACCUGACAGCUGACUUACUUCUACACAAGACAAAUCAGAGCGUGGCUGUGUCCCAGUGUGUGAGAUCAAACAAAUUGAGCCCGUUGAGUCACAUCAUUUGUAAAUGUUGAAAACUUAAUGAUAACAGUUGUGAGUCAUACUGCAGACAGGCUAUUUUCAAACUGACAUGUAUAAUAUGUGUAGUUUUUAUUGACAAGAAAUUAUUUAACUGCCAGUUUAUUUGUGUGUUUAAAAGUCUGUGGAAAUAUUUUCUUUCCUUCAGAUUUUUUGGCUGGUGUUCUUGAAAUGUGAUGUUUGGGAAACAAAAAUACCCCAUUUUGUAUUUAUUGCCAUUUUGAUGAAAAUAAACCCAAGCAUUCUUCAAGUAGUAUUCAAUGACACUGCAGGUCAGAAAUCAUUAAAAAAAAAGUGCCAAGGAAGACUAACAGAAAGGCAGAAAAUCUUGGAAUGUUAUUUUAUAUGUGGGGAGAAAAUCAUGGACCGGGCGGGGACAAACCAACCAAAUCUGUAUACAGGCAUGCAACCUUUCCUCAGACUGACUUCUUGUUUUCACUUCACACCCAUUGUAACAUAUCAAUCCUGGGGUUUCAGCGGGAAGGGAACACUCCUGUUCGAAUUGUGGGAUCUCGAUCUAUGCCUUGUCGACACAAACUGAUGUGGGCCCGGCAGAGGGACGUGAGUCAGGCAGUAGUGAGCCUCAAGAGCCAGGCCUAGAACCUCAAACGGAUUCAGCAAUUGCAGUCCUGCAGGACAGUGCUAGACCGGGAACCACAGCCAGGGUGGCGUACCAUCAAGUCAGUCAAGACGAGACCCACGAACCCAGUUGAACUUAUGAAAGCUAAUCAUUUUAAUUGAUCUGUUUGUAAAACGUGCUGUGUAAAACAUACCCAUUAAUAAGUUGAGGUUGUACUUGGAAAACUGAGGAGUUCUAGAGCGUUACAAGAAAGUAAAGUGCCACAGAAGUGUCUUUUCAGUGUACCUUUAGAGGAAAACAAUUACGCACCAAUUUAUUUGAAUUUGUAUUAUUAUUGUGUGUCACAAGAAAGUAAAGUGUCGCCGACAAAUCUACUUUCGCAUGCCUAUGUAUAUCAGCCCAGAUUUGAACGCGGUCGUCGAGAUGGUACUCGACGAAAUACCAAGAAUAUUUCCAUAUACUGUACAUGUACUUGGGACGUAAGUGUUGCAUUACAAAGUAUAAGACUUUAUCAUCUCUUCCUUCAUCUUGGUAACAUUGCUAAGCUGAUCAAUCCGAAUAUCUACUUUAUUUUAAUGCUUUUUUUCAGGUUCAUGUAAGUAAAGUAGACAUGCUGGCCGAUCAGCUACAGAAAAAGACUGGCCAUCAAGACUUCGUACAAUUUAAAGUUGAAACCAAAGGCUUCCUGUCCAUGGGUAUAAAUAAACUUUUUACCACAACUGCAUAUACAGUUUGACAAUAUUAUUAGUGUGCGUGUUCUCACAAAAGAAUUCCAUGUAUCUUGAGAAGAAUGUACUUCUGUACGAAAUACAAGUAGAAUGGAAACAGUGAUCGAUAUCCGUAAUCCAUAACGGGCGUGUGUAUUGAUUAACGUUAGUUCAUAUCUACAUGGACUUGUACAGCCAUUUUUAAGCCAGAUGGUUAGCGCUCCAUCCUUUCACAUCAUCUUUUAUUUAUCUGAAAUCGAGCUUUAAAAGUAUACAUGUCGGUCCGAUUUCCUUUUGAAUGAUAUUUAAAAUGAAGCGUACACAAUGGCUGCUUGUUUGUAUCGGGUAGAUGCCUGUGGAAUGUACGUCAUUCAGAAAAGGUGGGAUACAGUAUCGUUGUGGAAUCUCUUGCUAGGUUAACGGACGAUAGAGCGUUGUUCUUCAUGUACUACGGGCGAUUGUCAAAACAAGGAUUUUGGAAUUUAUUAAAGCCGUUCAUUAUUAGGUCACAGGCUUUCCUUAUUUCUUUCCUGUCUGUUAUCGGUCUUAAAAUCUUAUCAGAAAUUGAAAGCACAGGUUCUAAUGAUGCAGUUCUAAGUAAUGGGUGUUUGGUGAGACCAGUAUCUAUUUCAACACAUCAAAGGCAGCCUUUGGGCACAGAACGACACACAGUUCGCCAUUGUAGUCAUGAGCCACUACAACCGAUGCUACGCUAACCCUUCCUCGGCGGGGGGGUGGGCGACGGGUGCGCAUAACCAAGCCCACAGACCCGGGCGAUGGUGUGCAAAAUAGCACCCCCAACUUUGACCAAGUUAAGCCACAAACAUGAUCAAACUCGCCAAUGUCAGAGACCCACCGAAAAACCUUAGAUAUUCAUUCAUUCACAACCUCAGCACCCCCUGAGAAAAAUAUGUUCCCGCGGGCAUGCGCACAACGUCAAUGGCUUGAAAGGGGAAUGGGUGGUAAUAUUGGUCCCCUGCCCCAAGGUGCGGGGAUACAUCGCCCCUUCCCCCAGGCUCUCGGCCCACGGAACCCGGUACUCACAGAUUUAAAGAAGAUUGCGUGGAAAAGCACAAUGUAAAUGGUUCUAAUGAAUUUAUGUAGGGUAAAAUAUUGACAUCCCUGUAAAUUCAUGAUGCAAAUUAUGUUACAGCACUUAAAAGUGGAACACGAAAUUUAAGGAUUUUCAAUCAGCGUGGCUAAUGUAUGCACGAAGUUAUCGCCGUGUAAGUUGUCAUUGCAACGUUGGCUGUGUUUCAAGAGCAUUGUCAAACCGUCUUCAGUUGGCCUCUCAUCGGUUUAUUGUGUUUGUUCAACUUUUGGUGCACCUGUUUUCAA
This 4623-nucleotide unclassified non-coding RNA is filed under the name Acanthaster planci (crown-of-thorns starfish). RNAcentral's name for it is "uncharacterized LOC110984667, transcript variant X1". The record is from RNAcentral. Lineage: Eukaryota; Metazoa; Echinodermata; Asteroidea; Valvatida; Acanthasteridae.